GCCCAAGAGAUCGGGAUAACACCUGGAAACAGAUGCUAAUACCGGAUAACAACAGAUGAUGCCUAUCAACUGUUUAAAAGAUGGUUCUGCUAUCACUCUUGGAUGGACUGCGGUGCAUUAGCUAGUUGGUAGGGUAACGGCCUACCAAGGCGAUGAUGCAUAGCCGAGUUGAGAGACUGAUCGGCCACAUUGGGACUGAGACACGGCCCAAACUCCUACGGGAGGCAGCAGCU
Molecule: ribosomal RNA, 233 nt
Filed under: uncultured Lactobacillus sp.
Lineage: Bacteria; Bacillati; Bacillota; Bacilli; Lactobacillales; Lactobacillaceae
Description: partial 16S ribosomal RNA
Rfam family: Bacterial small subunit ribosomal RNA
Source: RNAcentral